UGGGCUUGACAUCCCACGAACCUGGGGGAAACCUCGGGGUGCCCGCAAGGGAGCGCGGAGACAGGUGGUGCAUGGCUGUCGUCAGCUCGUGUCGUGAGAUGUUGGAUUAAGUCCCGCAACGAGCGCAGCCCUCACCCUUUGUUGCCAUCAGGUCACGCUGGGCACUCUAAGGGAACUGCCCCAGUUAACGGGGAGGAAGGUGGGGAUGACGUCAAGUCAUCAUGCCCCUUACGCUCUGGGCUACACACGUGCUACAAUGGCCAAUACAAAGGGCUGCGAACCCGCGAGGGGGAGCUAAUCCCAAAAAGUUGGUCUCAGUUCAGAUUGUAGGCUGCAACCCGCCUACAUGAAGGAGGAAUCGCUAGUAAUCGUGGAUCAGCAUGCCACGGUGAAUACGUUCCCGGGCCUUGUACACACCGCCCGUCACACCACGAAAGUCUGCUGUACUCGAAGUCGCUGAGA
Molecule: ribosomal RNA, 462 nt
Filed under: uncultured bacterium
Lineage: Bacteria
Description: bacterial SSU rRNA
Rfam family: Bacterial small subunit ribosomal RNA
Source: RNAcentral